CUUACACCAUGCAAGCAAUAGGAAACUAGAGAAAAAAAACAGCUUCACGAUCUGCUCCUCAGGUAGCGGUGUUGACUUUAGUCUGAUGUGAGUUUACUCUGGAAUCAUUGCUAUGGAGCACAGUUGCAAAAGUAGGAAUUUCACUUUGCCAGAUGCCCCAUGAGAAGGAACGGUGCAGCAGUUUGGAUGCACCUCCAGGUGCUCCGGUUUCCUGCCACAUUUCAAACAUGAACAGUACUGUAUUUUCCCGUGCGGAGCGGACACCGAGUUUGUAAAUCUGACUGGAGUAAGAGUUGUUGGGAAUGGCAAGGGUGAGGCACCGCAGGAGGGGUGUGGGACAAGUGACAGAGGAGGAGUGCUUGGUUUGGGGGGGGGGGGGGCUGGUGCAGUCACACCCAGCCCUGAGACACCAGGCAAGGUCAUUGAUUCCAAACAAUCAGUUUAUUGAUCAUCACAGAAUGUCUCUCUGGUGCUUCCUGCUCCCUCCCCGCUCCAUUCCCCUUUUCCUAACCAUGAUUCCCCUCUCCCUGCCUCCUUCCCACCCUCAGUCCACAUACGUCAGGAAAUUUGGGGGGUUUUUGCGGCAGCUGUGUAGUGCAACACAUAAAAUUACUACAUUACUGUGCAAAAGUCUUAGGCACCCUAGCUAUGUGUAUGUGCCCGCACAUUAUUGUACGGAUUAGGGUACGCAAGUUGUGGCCAUGCUAUGUUGCUACUGGAAGCAUGACAACAUUUUUGGACUGUAUUGGUUGUUGACACAGAUUACUUAUUUCAUCCUAUGUAUCAAUGUUUCAAUGUACAUGUGACAAAUGAAGUUCAUCUUUAAAAUCUUUUACAUGAGAGGAAGUCCACAGAUGCUGGAGAUCCAAAGCAACACACACAAAAUGCUAGAGGAACUCAGCAGGUCAGGCAGCAUCUAUGGAGGGGAAUAAACAGCUGACGUUUUGGGCCGAGACCUUUCUUCACGAUUGAGAAGGAAGGGGGCGGACGCCAGAAUAAAAAGGUGGGGGUGAGGGGAAGGAGGCUGGCUGUAAGGUGACAGGUGAGGCCAGGUGAGUGGGAAAGGUAAAGGGCUGGAGACAAAGGAAUCUGAUAGGAGAGGGGAGUGGGCUGUGGGAGAAAGGGGAGGAGGAGAUAGGCAGAUGACGUGGUAAAAGGUCAGAAUGGGAGUAAAUGAAGGGGGUUGGGGGGGGGGGGGGAAUUUGUCUACCGGAAGGAAAAAUAAGUAUUCAUGCCAUCAGGUUGGAGGCUCCCCAGACGGAAUACGAGGUGUUGAUCUUCCACCCUGAGGGUGGCCUUUUCACACAAGAGAAGCCAUGGACUGACACGGCAGAAUAUGAAUGGGAAUGGGAAUUAAAAUGUUUGGCCACUGGGAAGUCCUGCUUGUGGCAGAUGGUGUGGAGGUGCUCAAAUUCUGGAGGUGGUUUGACAUCUCUGCCCAAGAUAGCUUUUGUGGAGCUUUUUUUUAAAAAAAAUAGAGAGGGGAUAGGUAGUAGGGCUCAGGAAGGGGAAUUGAGCUCGAGUCUGAGACAUCCGUAAGUUUUAGUAGAGGAAUGAUGAAAAUGGGGAUAUACAAGAUACCAGAACAGGUCAGAAUCGGCAUCAGGUUUAAUAUUAUUAGCAUAUCGUGAAAUUUGUUAUGUGGCAGCAAUACAUAAUAAUAGAGAAUAAAGCUGUGAAUGAUAGCAAUUACAUAUACGUAUAUAUUAAUAAAUUAAAUUAAGUAAGUAGUGCAAAAAUAGAAGUAAUAAAGUAGUGGGGUAGUGUUCAUGGGUUUAACGUCCAUUCGGAAAUCAGGUGGCAGAGCUGAAGAAACAGUUUCUGGAUAAGUGUGUGUGUGUUUUCAGGCUUCUGUACCUCCUCCCUGACGGUAACAAUAAGAACAAGACACAACCUGGGUGGUGGGAGUCUUUAAUGAUGGAUGGCAGCUUUUUGAGGCAUCACUCCUUGAAGAUGUCCUGGAUACUACGGAGGUUACGUUUUGAAGGACUAGAGAGGGUCACCCAUGACAAAGAGGUCAAAGGGUAGAGGCCAGAAUGAAAGUGGUCCACCGGUCCUCCAGGUUCGGGGCUUCAGUUCAGGGCUAACAACCCUGACUGGGAAAACAAAAUCGUUACGGCAACAGCAAUGAAGAAUCCUUCUACAUCUGAGUGUGACAGUAUUCUUGAGUCUCCACCCAGGAUUUGUGUGACUGACAGUAAUGAAAACCGAGAGGAAGCUUCCAACAUGAUGAAGGAAGCCCUGAACACCACCAGAGAUGAAGGACCUUCACUGCUGCCCUAAAUGCCAGUCGCAAUACAAGUACACCCGGAGGAAACUGAUGUACGUGUGGGAUGGAAUGUACAAACUUGCUUACAGAGGAUGCCAGGAUUGAUACCCGAGCUCUGAUGCCCCGAGGUAUAAUAGUGUUGUGUUAACUUCUAGGUUACCCUGGUGCUACUUUUCAAAAACAAAUCCAUGCCAUGUAGUUCUAAUCCAUACUUGACCAAAGAACUGCUGCUACUUCUUCUUCUUGGACCCUUAGUUCCCAGUGCAGAAAAGGCUAUCGAUUACCUCCUGUCUCCAUCGUCCUCUGUUCUGAGCCAGUUUCUUGAGGGUAGACCAGGAAAGGUCCCAUCGACUAAUUUCUGCCUCAAUGUCUCUCCUCCAUGUGUUCUUUGGACAUCCCUGUUUUCCUCUUUCCUUUAGGGAUCUAUUUUAUUGGCUGCCUGGUGAUGUUGUUGGUUGGCUUCCUCAAGGUGUGGCCAUCUCACUGCCCAUUAUGCCACUGGCACUUUGAGCAGCAAUGAAGAUCCUCCAUCUCUGAUGGUGUCCAGGGUCCAGGGCUUCCUUCAUCAUGUCAGUAGCUUCCUCUCCGUUUUCACUGUCAGUCAUGCAAGUCCCAGGUGGAGACUCAGGAAUACCGAAACACUCAGAUGUAGAAGGAUUCUUCAUUGCUGUUUCCGGAACAAUUUUAUUUAUAAGUCAGGGUUGUUAGCCCUGAGUUGAAGCUCCAAACCUGGAGGACUGGUGGACCACUCUUAGUCUGGCCUCUGUCCUUUGACCUGUUUGGCAUGGGUGACCCAACCAAGAGCCAAAGCAUAAAGCCCUGACUCCAGCUAACAUGGAUCUUCGCAUCAUUGAGGCACGCAAGCCUCCUAACCAUAUGACAAGGUUGUGGUCCUCUUGGAGGUCAAGGGGUGGCCAAUCCAUCUCUAUUUCCGUUUGCGUAUUUGUAUCUCUCUGGAUUUCCGGUUGAUAUUUUCCUAAGGCGUCUGGUUGGUUACUUCUGAUUAUUGCUUCUCAAACAUUUCCCACCAGCAACGUUAAUCUGUAAUUGCUGGAAGGAUCACGACAACCUGUUUGUGAACAACUGUGUAAAAAUAUGCAGUUUCUUAUUGUGAUAUUGCUAUUCCAAUCUCCCAAUACCACAAAUCUGGAGUCUCUGCACAUCUCUGUAAUUUAUUGCAACACACGCAAAAUGCUGGAGGAACUCAGUAGGUCAGGUAGCAUCUAUGGAGAGGAAUACACGGUUGGCAUUUUGGGCUAAGUCCCUUCUUCAGGACUGAGAAGGAAAAGGUAAGAUGCCAGAAUAAAAAGGCGGGGAGUAGGGGAAAGAGGCCAGCAGGAAGGUGAUGGGUGAAGCCAGGUGGGUAGGAAAAGUAAGUGCUGGAGAGGAAGUAAUCUGAUAGGAGAGGAGAGUGGACCAUAGGAGAAAGGGAAGAAAGGAACCCGAGGGAAAGUGAAAGGCAGAUGAGAAAAAGUAAGGGGGGGGGGGGGGAAUUAGUUUACUGGAAGAAGAAAUCGAGAUUUAUCCCAUCAGGUUGGAGGGUAUCCAGACAG
Long non-coding RNA from Hypanus sabinus (Atlantic stingray), 3822 nucleotides. RefSeq lists it as uncharacterized. Lineage: Eukaryota; Metazoa; Chordata; Chondrichthyes; Myliobatiformes; Dasyatidae. The record is from RefSeq and is a predicted model, not a curated record. The transcript is spliced from 3 exons.